CAGGCUUAUCAUUGUGUGUUUCGUUGUCAAAAAAAUUAUCACUCGAAUUAAAAGGUUAAAAGGCAAAAUCAGGCACAAAUUUUAAAAAUAUUUCGGUAAAACACCAACAAACAAAUGGUGUACAUAGCCUGACUUUGUACAGGCCUAACAUAUGCUGGGAGGUCCGUCUACGAACCUUGUUGACACUUGAUAUUAUCUCAAACACUCUCAAAUACUUCAAGAAAAAAAAAUAACCCAACGGCUAUCACGUGUCUGUUUGGAUUAAAACAAACUGUUUUCUGAUGGAUGAAAGAUUAGUACAAUUGACAGAACAGAUAUAUUAUGCAUCUAUAUCUAUACCACUAGACUUUUCAUCUCCAGUGCUAGACUUUAGAUCAUAAGGAGUCGACUGACGAUUUUGACCUUUUUAGUCUUAUUUGUAGAACUUGUCGUGCUUAUCAUUUUUGCUAUUUAAAGUUUCUAUCUAACUAUAAUAGUUUUCAAGAUAAAAGGAAAACAUGACAAACAAAUGGAAACAUUUAUCAUUGUUUUAAGUGCAACAACUCCUAAAGUAAGGCGUCUGAUAGUUUUGAAAAUUGAUAGAGCUUAACAUUUUGAACAGCUCUUGUCAGAUUUUCUCUAUUUAUAACGGUAUUCAAAGUAAUAGUCAAAACUUUUAUUUGACUACCCAUUAGACUAGUUUAGCCAUUUUGGACAUCUUGGUUGACAAGCAGGGUCAUCGGACACUUUUAUUUUUUAAACUAGAUUUCCUAAUGAUGGUUGUGGUUAGUAAAUUUGGCCUAUUUGACCAGGUGAGCUAAAAGGCGGAUUCAGACUUGAUAAUUUCGCGGAAUUUUCACAUGAUCAUUUAACAAAAAAAUAUAAAAAGUUGGAGGGAACAACGAUUUUAAACUUUAUCGAUAACUGCUAAGAAAGAAUGCAAUCUAAUGAUAAUUAUAUAAAUAAAUAUGAAUAAUGAUCUUGUUUUUUGCAAAGUCCUCUUCUAAGUAUAGUUGAAUAAAUUGCUAUGUUAUUGUUCAUAAACCAUCUUUACCAAGAUCAUACACACAUAUACAGGUAAAUUUCACUGCCCUUAAUCCCAGACGGCUUUUAUUACAGGAGCUGUGGUUGUAUUCAUUGUUAUUUUGUUUUUGUCCUGAACAUUCAUGAAACAUUUGCCACCGUACGUUUAGCAAUUAACAAUCAAUCAUUCAAUCAAUCAACAUUGUGUCAUUUCAACGCAAAGUAUAUUGAUUACUUUGAGUUGAAAUGACACAAUUUUGAUUGAUUGAUUGAUUAAAUAUGUAAAACUGAAGUUAAUAAGUAAUUUGGUCAAUAUGUUAAGAAUGUUGGACAUUGAAAUUAUUGCUUCAAAUGGUGUCUAACUGGUAUUAUAUCAGUACGCUCACCUUAUGAAAAUGACAAAACUAGCCAGCUAGACAUUCAUUCUUUAAUGAACUGUUCUAAAAAUGUUACCUUGAUUUCACAACUUUCGACACGAAGCUUUCUUUUAAUGAAUAAAACAUAUUGAUGAUUUAGCUUUAUGAUUAACAGCUAUGUUUUAACUUAUCUUGAAA
This 1556-nucleotide long non-coding RNA is filed under the name Mytilus galloprovincialis (Mediterranean mussel). The record is from RNAcentral. Lineage: Eukaryota; Metazoa; Mollusca; Bivalvia; Mytilida; Mytilidae.